AUUGAACGCUGGCGGCAGGCCUAACACAUGCAAGUCGAGCGGAAACGAGUUAUCUGAACCUUCGGGGAACGAUAACGGCGUCGAGCGGCGGACGGGUGAGUAAUGCCUAGGAAAUUGCCCUGAUGUGGGGGAUAACCAUUGGAAACGAUGGCUAAUACCGCAUGAUGCCUACGGGCCAAAGAGGGGGACCUUCGGGCCUCUCGCGUCAGGAUAUGCCUAGGUGGGAUUAGCUAGUUGGUGAGGUAAGGGCUCACCAAGGCGACGAUCCCUAGCUGGUCUGAGAGGAUGAUCAGCCACACUGGAACUGAGACACGGUCCAGACUCCUACGGGAGGCAGCAGUGGGGAAUAUUGCACAAUGGGCGCAAGCCUGAUGCAGCCAUGCCGCGUGUGUGAAGAAGGCCUUCGGGUUGUAAAGCACUUUCAGUCGUGAGGAAGGUGGUGUAGUUAAUAGCUGCAUUAUUUGACGUUAGCGACAGAAGAAGCACCGGCUAACUCCGUGCCAGCAGCCGCGGUAAUACGGAGGGGCGAGCGUUAAUCGGAAUUACUGGGCGUAAAGCGCAUGCAGGUGGUUUGUUAAGUCAGAUGUGAAAGCCCGGGGCUCAACCUCGGAAUAGCAUUUGAAACUGGCAGACUAGAGUACUGUAGAGGGGGGUAGAAUUUCAGGUGUAGCGGUGAAAUGCGUAGAGAUCUGAAGGAAUACCGGUGGCGAAGGCGGCCCCCUGGACAGAUACUGACACUCAGAUGCGAAAGCGUGGGGAGCAAACAGGAUUAGAUCCCUGGUAGUCCACGCCGUAAACGAUGUCUACUUGGAGGUUGUGGCCUUGAGCCGUGGCUUUCGGAGCUAACGCGUUAAGUAGACCGCCUGGGGAGUACGGUCGCAAGAUUAAAACUCAAAUGAAUUGACGGGGGCCCGCACAAGCGGUGGAGCAUGUGGUUUAAUUCGAUGCAACGCGAAGAACCUUACCUACUCUUGACAUCCAGAGAACUUUCCAGAGAUGGAUUGGUGCCUUCGGGAACUCUGAGACAGGUGCUGCAUGGCUGUCGUCA
This 1048-nucleotide ribosomal RNA is filed under the name Vibrio sp. RS28. RNAcentral's name for it is "bacterial SSU rRNA". It matches the Rfam family "Bacterial small subunit ribosomal RNA", at positions 28 to 1057 of the family's 1533-position model. The record is from RNAcentral. Lineage: Bacteria; Pseudomonadati; Pseudomonadota; Gammaproteobacteria; Vibrionales; Vibrionaceae.